Helianthus annuus (common sunflower) is the source of this 909-nucleotide long non-coding RNA. RefSeq lists it as uncharacterized. The transcript has 3 exons. The record is from RefSeq and is a predicted model, not a curated record. NCBI's taxonomy places the organism in Eukaryota, Viridiplantae, Streptophyta, Magnoliopsida, Asterales, Asteraceae.
AACCCGUCUUCAACCAGUUCAUCCCCUUCCUCUCUUGUCACCUCCAUCUUCAACCAACCAGAGGACACCAUGGCGGCGGAUGGCGUCACGACGGCGGUAACAUCUCAGGCAUACCCGGAAGGAUCUCAGGUCAAACAAACCAAGUCACUCAUCACCGAGUUAUGCCGCCUCUCUACACCCUCGGUUGGGUCUCCGACACCGGCGGAAGCAUCACCGCCAAGGUCCAUGACGAUUCCGUUCCAAAAUCCGACCAACUCAUCAUCAUGUCCCCCUCCGAUUACUCAUAUGGAGAUGAUUAAAGGAAUUCAAGGGCAUGGUUAUUAUGAUGAGCUUGUGGUUCCGAUAAUAGAAAACACUGCUCAUGAAAGGGAGUUGACUUAAGCUCUUGCUGCAGCAAUUGAAGCGUACCCGAAAACAACUGCGGUACUGGUGCGAAACCAUGGUAUUUACAGGUGUUAGGGUUAAAAUACAGAGAGGAAGGGGAUGAACUGGUUGAAGAUUAGGGUUUAAACUUUAAAGGAGGACAAUGAAUGAACAGAUCUACCCCUCACGUGGGAGGCACGUGGGGUAUUUAACGGUAAAAGUUAACACCGUUUACCAUAAAGGACUUGCAAUGCAACGAAAAUAAAGUUAAAGGAUUUGCAGUGCAACUUUUAAACGUUAAGGACGUGCACUGUACUUUUCGUUAAACCUAAAGGACGUGCACUGUCAUUUUGUCAAAAUUAAUUAAAUCGAAUCGGCAUUUAAAGUUCGUAUAAUAUAUAAUUUAGAAAGUUAGUAUAAUAUAUAAUUUAAAAGUAGUUUAAAUUUGAAGGGGUAAGAUAUAUUUGAAAGUUGUGACUUUUUGUAAGGGGUGUGGUAUAUUUAAAAGUGUUAUAAAGGGUUGUGACUUUUUGUAAGAGGUGUGAU